RNAcentral lists this long non-coding RNA (1261 nucleotides) under Monodelphis domestica (gray short-tailed opossum). RNAcentral describes it as "lncRNA (ENSMODG00000034382.2)". The record is from RNAcentral. Lineage: Eukaryota; Metazoa; Chordata; Mammalia; Didelphimorphia; Didelphidae.
GCUUCGUCAUUUCAUUCCUAACGUCUUCUGAUUCGACUUUGAGACAACCCAGGACUCUGGAAUCUUUGCUGCAACUUCUCCAAUGGACAGAUGUUCCUUUCCAUCCUCUUAACAAGGCUCCAUCAUUUCUUUCCUAACGUCUUCUGAUUCGACUUUGAGACAACCCAGCACUCUGGAAUCUUUGCUGCGACUUCUCCAAUGGACAGAUGUUCCGUUCCAUCCUCUUAACGAGGCUUCAUGAUUUCUUUCCUAACGUCUUCUGAUUCGACUUUGAGACAACCCAGCACUCUGGAAUCUUUGCUGCAACUUCUCCAAUGGACAGAUGUUCCUUUCCAUCCUCUUAACAAGGUUUCCAUGCAAAAAUAUCGGAAUAAGUGGUUGUUGGCAAGCAAAGCAUGUGAUGGUGUCCCUGUGAUGUUCAGGUGGCUCAGAAGAUGUAUUUGGUUCAAGAUUGGAUGGGGGAGUGGCAGACCUCUACUUUGGCCAGUGAGCUGUCCACCCUAGAAAAUCAGAACAAGUGGUUGCUGGCAAGCAAAGCAUACGAUGGUGUCCCUGUGAUGUUCAGGUGGCUCAGAAGAUGUAUUUGGUUCAAGAUUGGAGGGGGGAGUGGCAGACCUCUACUUUGGCCAGUGAGGUGAGUGGCUGUGGCAGACUGCAUGAUGGGUCCAAACCCUUUUUCUUUGACUCUUCCAUGAGGCGCUGGAAGUCUUGAAUAGGAAAGCAAGGAAUCAAUAGCUCAGAGGCUAAGCUCUGAGCAUUACUUCAUAGGGAUCUUAACCUGUUGUCCUGACAUUUCCCAAAAAGGAGCAUUUACUAAAGAAGCAUGGCAUUUCCUCGUGCAGGCUAUGAAACAAAGUGAGGCAAAAGGACAUAGAGUGUUAGCCGCCAUUGAGGUCCCAUGCACUCUAGUGAGGAUACUGCAUGAACUGUGGAGAGUUGAGCUGUACCUCACCUGCAGCCCCACCUUUCACUGCUUCUACUCACUCUUCUUUACCCUUUGAAUCAGAUGGCCAAGGAGAUAGACCCCUUCCUUUAUGCUGCAGAUGCCAAGAACCAGCCCCAUGGCCUGGGGCAAGCCUCCUGCCCAAAUCCCUUGUUUCUGUCCUCACUGCUGUCAAAUGAUAGCUAAACCCCAGAAUUGAGGCAUGCUGUCCUCCCAAGGAGCAGAUUUUGCACGCAAGCUCUUCCACCUUGGCUGCCUCCUGACCACAGUCAACAUGACUUUCACAUCAAUAAAAUGUCCCCUUUUCUUUUGAAGCCA